UACGUAGGACCCAAGCGUUAUCCGGAAUCACUGGGCGUAAAGCGUACGUAGGCGGAAAUUUAAGUGAUGUGCGAAAUCCUGGGGCUCAACCCUAUGGACUGUACAUCAUACUGGGUUUCUAGAGGAUGGCAGAGGCAAGUGGAAUUGAUAGUGUAGCAGUGAAAUGCGUAGAUAUUAUCAGGAACACCAAUGGCGAAGGCAGCUUGCUGGGCCAUAUCUGACGCUGAGGUACGAAAGCGUGGGGAGCGAA
Molecule: ribosomal RNA, 250 nt
Filed under: uncultured bacterium
Lineage: Bacteria
Description: partial 16S ribosomal RNA
Rfam family: Bacterial small subunit ribosomal RNA
Source: RNAcentral